This 274-nucleotide ribosomal RNA is filed under the name uncultured bacterium. Its description in RNAcentral is "partial 16S ribosomal RNA". It matches the Rfam family "Bacterial small subunit ribosomal RNA", at positions 523 to 796 of the family's 1533-position model. The record is from RNAcentral.
AUACGUAUGGGGUAAGCGUUAUCCGGAUUCAUUGGGCGUAAAGCGCGUGUAGGCGGCUUGUUAAGUCAGAUGUGAAAACCGGGGGCUUAACCCGCGGCGUGCAUCUGAAACUGGCAGGCUUGAGUCUGGUAGAGGAAAGUGGAAUUCCUAGUGUAGCGGUGAAAUGCGCAGAUAUUAGGAGGAACACCAGUGGCGAGGGCGGCUUUCUGGGCCACGACUGACGCUGAGACGCGAAAGCUAGGGGAGCAAACAGGAUUAGAUACCCCAGUAGUCC